Molecule: long non-coding RNA, 697 nt
Organism: Brassica oleracea var. oleracea
Lineage: Eukaryota; Viridiplantae; Streptophyta; Magnoliopsida; Brassicales; Brassicaceae
Exons: 3
Source: RefSeq, a predicted model, not a curated record
AGGCCAUCACUAACCAGUUUCUUAAAUACGUUUCUUAAGGUAAUUAGAAUUUAAAAAAAAGUGAAAAAAAGAAAUAAAUCCAAAGCACGUCUCUUAGUUAAGAAAAGAGAUCAUGAAGGAAACCUCACGGGAAUCUUUCGAACUUCCUCCAGAGAUCAUCAUGGAGAUUCUCAUCCGAUUACCAGACAAAUCAACUGGAGGUUUGAUUAAGGAACUGAAAGUCCAUGUUUUGCUGAUUAAGAAGCAAAGGUCGAGAGGCUUUUGAUGGUUAAUACGUCUCAGUCUCCCUGUGUUUAUAGCCUCUCGGGGAUGAAGGAAUCAGCUGCUACAAAGUUCAAAACUUUCCAGAUUCAUGUUGAUUGGAUGCUCGAAAACGGCAUUACUAGUCAGAUAAAAUUGGUGUUUCUGUGAAACUAGCAAUGAAGUAUAUGAAGAGAGUAUCUGCAGAGAUUGGAGGCGGUGCGCCCUGAAGAGGAAGAGCUUAUUGUUCAAGGCGUCAGAUUCGCGUUCCGUGUUCAUCAGUUCGCAGGAGGAUUUGAUGCAGAGACAAGCUUGUAUAUAUUCAAGGUAAUUCACAAACUUGUAUAUAUAGCCUUUGUUCUUCAUUCUCCUUCGCAUGUUCUUCCUUCUUCUUCUAUCUUGUAAACAAUCAAAAACAAUUUCUCUAUCGUAAACAAUCAAAAAAAAUUUCUUAACC